UUGGUGGUGGCUUAUUAGUUCUGUAUUCCUUAUCAGGAUCUCCUGUCAUGGUACCUGGCCAGGGUGGGUGGUUUCAAUCAGUAUGCUUCCCCUAACAUAUACAUGACCUUCCCAAACUCCCUAACUAUCCCUCUCUGCCAGUAACCAUAAGUUCGUUUCAUGUCUGUGAGUCUGUUUUAUAAGUUCAAAAUAUUUUCUUAAUGAAGGUGAGUCUUUUUUUUUUUUUUUUCGUACUGAUGUUCUCCAUGGGAUUUAUUUACUUCUUUAGAAAUGUGGUAUCUCAGUGCCCUGACCAGGGAUCGAACCUGCACCCCCUGCAUUGGAAGGUGAAGACUUAACUGCUGGACCACCAGGGAAGUCCCUGCUUACAUACUUUUGAAUUGUGAUAUUCCACCAAAACCCAUGGACAAGUUUAUUGUGGAGUAUUGCCAACGUACAGGCAAGCGUAGACUAGAACAAUUUUAAAGAAUGUUCACAAAUACACCACACAGAUGAAUCAACUCUUGAGUAGGACAUAUNNNNNNNNNNNNNNNNNNNNNNNNUAACACACUUGUAAUAAACACCAUGUAUACUCAUGAGCCCUCCCUAAACCCAUUCCCCUUACCUUCAACGUGACUCAUUACCCAAGAAGAUGACUGUAGUUGCCCAGCAUCACGUCCCUUCUGAGCCCAGUCCAGCAUGUCCCACUCUUGCUGGUGAAGUACAGAGCCUUGUCCUCAAAGGACAGCAACCCCUGGAAACACGGAGACUCAUUAUAACUGCAGCUCCUACUACAGCUUUAUGGGCCGCAGUAUUAUUAUUGUCCUACAGCCGAGGCUCAUCCAGUUAACUAGCAGACUCAGGGCUCAACUCGUCUCCAACCCUCAGGUCACGCGUGUUCUUUCUUCCACGCUAGAGUCACACGUGUUCUCUCUGGAAGGACACAUGGUCAGUAUGUGAGGCUUCUCUGGCCGUUUGGUCUCUGCUGUGGUCACUCAACUCUACUCUGGCAGCAUAGACAACAAGAGAGUGGACGGGUGUGGCUGUAACCCCAUGAAAUCGCUCCCG
Molecule: long non-coding RNA, 1047 nt
Filed under: Capra hircus (goat)
Lineage: Eukaryota; Metazoa; Chordata; Mammalia; Artiodactyla; Bovidae
Description: lncRNA (ENSCHIG00010029988.1)
Source: RNAcentral